Molecule: ribosomal RNA, 448 nt
Filed under: uncultured bacterium
Lineage: Bacteria
Description: bacterial SSU rRNA
Rfam family: Bacterial small subunit ribosomal RNA
Source: RNAcentral
GACCAGACUCCUACGGGAGGCAGCAGUGGGGGAUAUUGCACAAUGGGGGGAACCCUGAUGCAGCGACGCCGCGUGGGUGAAGGAGUAUUUCGGUAUGUAAAGCCCUAUCGGCAGGGAAGAAUUUAGACGGUACCUGACUAAGAAGCCCCGGCUAACUACGUGCCAGCAGCCGCGGUAAUACGUAUGGGGCAAGCGUUAUCCGGAUUUACUGGGUGUAAAGGGAGCGCAGGCGGCCUGGCAAGCCUGAUGUGAAAUACCGGGGCCCAACCCCGGGGCUGCAUUGGGAACUGCCAGGCUGGAGUGCCGGAGAGGCAGGCGGAAUUCCUAGUGUAGCGGUGAAAUGCGUAGAUAUUAGGAGGAACACCAGUGGCGAAGGCGGCUUACUGGACUGUAACUGACGUUGAGGCUCGAAAGCGUGGGGAGCAAACAGGAUUAGAUACCCUUGUAA